Molecule: long non-coding RNA, 1734 nt
Filed under: Mus musculus (house mouse)
Lineage: Eukaryota; Metazoa; Chordata; Mammalia; Rodentia; Muridae
Description: long non-coding RNA chr9:46840298-46842032
Source: RNAcentral
AGGCCAUCCUUUUGUCUAACAGGAUGGGAUUCCCUGAUAGAACUAAAGUCAGAUGCUAAAGUUGUCAGGAGUGGGUAAAGUCUUUGCAGCCUCUUUGUGCUGGGGAUACCUGGAAGCCUGUAGCUCUUGUAGCUCAUCUGGUUGAUAACCACAGACUUGGGAACACUGGGUCAUAUAAUCCAGGUAGUACAAUCUUGGAUACCAUCCCCCAUUAGAAGUUGGAAGACAUUUAUGUCAAGAUCCGUCUGUAAUUGGUAACUUGGAGCUCAUCACUUCAAGUCCCUGGAAUUCGGUGUCUCUACCAUUUCCCUUAAAAAAUGGAAGACAGUAGCCCCUAUUCUCACUGUGCAUCACAGCUAAUACCACAGGUGUCUCUUCUCACACCCUUCCUGCAUACCCACGACAGAGUCACCUUCUUUCUCAGCCACAAGACAAUCUCUCCACACUGCUCUUCUGCUCAACAAGCUAUUGCUCUCCCCUGCCAUAAAGUCCAAGUUCAUGAACAGAGCGCCUGCUUUUCUUGGAAGUGAGUGCUCAUAUUGCCCGUUCAGACAGAGCAUCCCUGAUUCCUCUAAAACACACCAAAGGCUCCUGCUGUGUUGCCUUUUUCAUCCUCCUGUGGUCCUAUGACCAGGACCAGGUGGCCUUCCUUGCCUGCCCAUCAGUGCCACCUCUGGUUAGUCCCUGCUCAUUUUCCUUCUUAAGUUGGCACCUAUGGGUAUCCAGAUAUCCUCUGUUCUGGAAAGCCUCUUGGUAUAUGAUCCUUUAUAUCCUUAGGUAUGUAGGCACACAAGUGAUCACAGACUCUCUGCGAUAUGUAAUGAAAGAGUUGGUGCUGUGGUCAAACUAGACAUAGGAGGCAACCCUGGCAAAAAGCCCUGCAGUUUCCUUGUGUCUGUCUGCAGAGCUCGAUGUGUUCAUGAACUGAGUUCAGAUUUUCAAGCAUAUUUGGUUGUAUUUUCUUUGCCUACCUAGGGGACAACCCCAGAUGUCCCAUAGGCUAACCUGUCAGUAGAAGCAAGCAGUAGGGACCUCUUGGAAGCUCCUCAAAGUAGGUUCUUUGGCUUUUUGCCCACACACAACCUCUCUCUCUCUCUCUCUCUCUCUCUCUCUCUCUCUCUCUCUCUCUCUCCAGCAGGCUGAAGCCAGUGGUGAAAGUAAUAGAUUGGGACUGGGAUGCUCAGGUUAAGUGGGCCGCUUUGCGGAGCUCAUCCAUAACCCUGCUGGAGCCCAGAGAACAAUACGUUAAUUAGAGCCGACGGCACGGCUCCCAUCAGCCAUCCAUCCUGUCCAUGUCUACGGGGCCUUCCCCAUGGACACGCCAGCCCACUCCCUACUCUGAAAGAGAUUUAUUCAUUAUCAAUGUGUGUCUAUGAGACGGACCUAGUGGGGACUGAAGAAGGUGAGAGGGAGAUGCCAAAAGGGACAGAAUGUGAAAGAGGCUGAUCCCAAUCAGCUGGCAGAUGGUCAAGGGGUGUGUUUGGGGGCUGGAGAUGGGGUGUUCCCAAUUAGGGGGAUGUGACAAAGCCACCUGGUUGGGCAGGAGAGCCAAAAGCAACAGAAGAGUUGCCAUGCCUGUGUCCAGCAAGGAGUCUUGGCCAGGUUUGAACGCAGCUUUCUUUAAGUCCCGAAUAGUAGAGAAGAGAAGACACGGAAGAUAAUAUCCUUUCAGCCCAAAGCUGUGUAUCCCCCAGAAUCUAUUUCCAAAGCACCCACCGAAGAAAAUGAUGCCCA